UCGUUGAGUGCUGUUUUUUUGUGUCUGUGUGCAUGUUUGAGCACAACAGACGCUGGACUCGCAGCAAAGCCAGGAGAGUGCCCAAGUGAAAAAUCUGGAGCAGGUAAGUGUGCCGAUCUGUGUGCCUAUGACAGUGACUGUCCGAACAAUGAGAAAUGCUGCAGCAAUGGAUGUGGACGUCAGUGUAUGGCUCCAUAUACAGUUAAGCCUGCGCCCAAGCCUCCAGUGAAGCUUGCCGCCAAACUGGUUGAGACUCCAGUGAAG
Rhinichthys klamathensis goyatoka is the source of this 264-nucleotide long non-coding RNA. RefSeq lists it as uncharacterized. The record is from RefSeq and is a predicted model, not a curated record. Lineage: Eukaryota; Metazoa; Chordata; Actinopteri; Cypriniformes; Leuciscidae. The transcript has 3 exons.